This 565-nucleotide long non-coding RNA is filed under the name Citrus sinensis (sweet orange). Its description in RNAcentral is "long non-coding RNA (CSIN_LNC005556)". Lineage: Eukaryota; Viridiplantae; Streptophyta; Magnoliopsida; Sapindales; Rutaceae. The record is from RNAcentral.
AAAUUAUCUUUAUAAAGAGGAAUUAUCUUUGGCAAAGUAAAUUUUCAUCAUCUCUCAGUGCGUCCAACACGCUCAAAGCAUUAUGUUUUCUCGCAGUUUUGUAUUCCAACAUUGCUUCCCAUGAAUGUUUUGUUGCGGAAGUGCGAGGUCGAGCAAUUACCAAUAUUACAAUGACUGUAACUUUUGGAGAAAUAUAAAUGUGACAAAUAAAUGCAAAGAAAAUAGGACACAAUAAUUCACGUAGUUCGACGUAAUGCCUACGUCCAUGCGCAAAGACUGGGAGAUAAUUUUACUAAUAAUGAGAAUUUACAAAAGUAGGAAAAACUCACAAAACCCACAACCCCAAUACACCCAAAUGGAUCCUUACUAGAACACUCAAGUGGAAACUCUCUCAAAUUCUCUCAAAGAGCUCACUUGCAAUUGCUCUCUACUUCUCUCAAAUUGGGAUGCUUUACAAAUGCAUUCUACUCCUCUAUUUAUAGGCAAAGCUUACAAUAUGAAUGCAUAAAAAAAAAAAAAAACUUUGGCCAUUUUCAAUUUUAAUGGCUUUGGUGUGACUUUUAGU